RNAcentral lists this unclassified non-coding RNA (502 nucleotides) under Hevea brasiliensis (rubber tree). Lineage: Eukaryota; Viridiplantae; Streptophyta; Magnoliopsida; Malpighiales; Euphorbiaceae. The record is from RNAcentral.
GGAUUUCAGUUUGGUGGAAAUGAUCCCUCUGUUCCAUCUGGUGGUUUCAACUUUGGCUGAAGGGAUCUAUAAAUUGACACGGGCAAAUCACAGUGUAGGUGGAAAAUAUGUUGGGUAAAGUUCAGUCUGAGUCUCCAUCACAGCACCUUGUAUUUGGUUACAGUUUGGUCUUAUAUUCAUUGUCGUUAAAGUGGUGCUAGACAGCUCAAUUAUUCUAUGUCCGUGGUCUCACACCCUAGACAGAAAAUACUAUAUGAUGAUGUGCUAUGAAAGCUGUUCAGAAAGAUCUAUUGCUUGCAUGAGCAUGGCGUCCUCUCAUGAGUCACUGAGUGGGUGUGCUGCAGUUCUGGUGUAGGUAUAGUUGUAUGCAGCAUUGGUCCUUAUUUUCGCAUUAUUGGUUGUGCUAGUAGUUUAUACACUAGCGGUAUUCAUUUUAUCUUUGAUUGCGUGAAUAUAUUACUUGUAAACCUCAUUUUCUCAAUUUCUUUCACUUGAAUAAAUC